GUUUGCCAACAACGCUAGCUAACUAACUGAAGCGCUCUGUUGUUACUUUUCCUGCUAGCGGCAGCAGGGUGUACUGUGGGGUUGCCAGUUGUGUUACUGCAGAUGAUUGUGGAUACACAUGCUCAGGAGUUAUAGCUAGGGCGACCAAAUGAAGUGCACCGUUACCUUGAAUAACAGCAUUUGGGAUCAUGUAAGUAAACAACUCAACACACUGUAUAACAAAGAUCUAGUUGUUUUUAGACUUUUUAAAUAUUGCAAUGUUAUAUAUGACACAUUUAACUCAAAUAUCAUAUAUGCCUCUUAGAAAAGCUUGUGUAGAAAUCUCAAUAUUUGGUGUUAACUUGCUGUGCAAUUUUCUCAAUUGCUCCUGCAGUUUGAAUUUCAAUGCUUUCUCCGCAACGUCCGUGGAGGGCUUCUCCCUCCGCUUUUGCCAGUUCUCUUUGAGGUCUUGUAUAUUUGGAUUUCCCGCUUCACUGCUCCACCCCAACAUGUUCAUUUCCAACUGCCCAUCUCCAUUUACAACCUGUUUUUAUCAACUUUUUUCACAAAGCACAACAAAACAGAGGGAGGGUAGCCUCGCUGCUUGUGGGGGGCGAACACAGCCAGGAACAUUGUCCAUGAACUUCUCCUCAUCUACAUCCCCCAGUGUUAUAGACAAACAAUCCUUUCCAUAUGCAGUGGACGGGGUCAUGGCGUUAACAGAGGGAGGAAUGCUUUGGGGAGAAAAUAUUGUCCAGCAAUGACACAGAAGUAAUUUGGGUCUCGCUGAGUGAUUUCAUCAGGGCCUUUUGUUGCCUCAAAGUGUUUGACCCAGAGGUCCCUGUCAGCCCUGUUGUUAAUGGGAGCCGGAGCAGAGUGACAGCCCCAGAAAGUAAAACAUUUUACUACUAAUAGUGGGCCUCCAGAGGCUUAGGCAUAAAUAUUUAAGCUCUUCUCCCUUGUCCCAAAUACUGGGGGGUCUCCAUGGUGCAUUUAUCUAUAAUGCAAGAAAAAGAGCAAAUAUAUCCGCUAGAUGCUUCUUUACCGGCUUGUUGGCACUUUUUUUUUCACCACACCCUCAGAGUUGUUAAAUGGAAUAAGAGGGUGAGUUAACUAAAAGUUUUUGCAGAAGGACCGUGUGUUGUUUUCAAGCCUCGUCCAGCUUCUUGGGGCCGCAGGACCGCAAAUAUAAACUCCCGUCAUCAAUGAGGUCUGAGAAGAUUUCCCUAAUAUAGCCCGGCACGGAGGGGAACGUACCAGGCCCCGGCCUAUUUCUCAAAGUAAACUUCAUUAAAAAGGCUAUGUGGCUUGUGAAGGUGGUCUGACGUGCCUUGAAUGAUGGUCUCCACAAACAAAGCUGCUACACAAGCCAUCGAAUUAUCUCUGUCAAACUUUGGCGUAAUCUGAGCUGAUCCUCUUAAAAAUAUUUAAAUGAAAACAUUUGCACAUCAAUGGGCCUCCAUGGCAACACUGUGUGUAUUCUUCUUCGGGGGUGCCUCUUUAACACUGAGCUUUAGAAAAGCACAUCUCCUCUGUUGUGUUGACAAACAACAAAACAAACAAUAUUAAAUGGAGGAGCUGAAGUUUUUCACAUCAUUGAUGGAUAGGGGGAGUCUGAAAAGGGCCGAAGGGAACUCGAGUUGAAUGAACACUCAAGUUUGAGACGCCGGUAAUUAUAUGAUUGGUGCUCGGGGGAUGUGUCGUUAUACAUGGGCUAUAAACCGGAGAGCGUUUUGAAUAAGAUGACCAAGGUUGUGAGAGUGAAUCUAACGCAGGACACUGCACAAGUAUUCACUGAGCCGCCUCAUCAGUACUUUAUGGCUGCAUAUUAUUGCUCUCCGUGGUGAGACCUGUGAGGAGCACCUCUCCCCCUAGUGGCAGAAAACAAAUCAGCCCCCCGCAUGAACUCAGAAUCAUCUCGGGUCUGACUCCCUUUACCCAAACAGCUCCGGCGCCUCCUGAAUACAUUACGACACAAACCCGAGCGCUUUCACGGGCUGCAACAAAAAUGUGAUUAUGUUUGUGAAAAUAGCAGUGCUUCCGUGGUACUUCCUCUGCAUUCUGGGGGAAAAAAAAGGGGGCGAUGUAUUAAUAUAGCUCGUGGCUUAAUUGGGUUUUUGGAUGGUGGAUUAAUUAAUUUGUGGCUAAUAGGCACAAACACGAGAAAACAAACUUCUUUACUUUAAGCUCGGGCUGUACAUGCAUCUAAGUAAGUAAUGUAAAUUAUGCAGAUUGUGUUGAUUCUUCUGACAAAGAGGUUUUUGCAAGAGGUGCUUUAAAAGAUUACUCCUUCCUGGCAUUUUAUCAAUUGUACACUCGCAUAAAUAAGUUACGCCGCAGAUUUGAAUUAUUAGUCUGCUCUGCUCUAACAAAUAUUGGGUGAUGAUUAACGACAGGGGUUGUUUAUAAGUGAACUAAUAUCAUCAAUUUUACAAUACAAUAGCAUGUAGGCUACAUAAUGUACCACAUAUACAAACUGCUACCGAUUUCUACAACAACAAUACAAAUGUAAAUCUUUACCGAAGUUGUCAACCUCACACGUUUUUUGCGAGAGUUUCGAUGUCGGUUUCAGUAUUUAGACUUUCACACGACACAGAACUGGCGUUCUUAGAGCAAAUUAUACUUUUUCUGGUCUUUGAAUCUGCAGUUUCAUCUGAAGUUUCUCCCCUGAAGAAACUGGAUUUCUGAUGCAACACAGAAAAAAAAGACACGGGGUUCGGCUCAGCCUUGUAACUCUGCUGCAAUCCAUGCCUGCAAACUGAUAGCUCACAGAAAUAGAGCCCCCCUGGUCCUCGGCAUGAAAUGUGCUCUAAUCAGCAGAACAUCAAUUAACAGUUGGAAAUAAAAUGUCACCUUGCCGUUUCAGUGGGGAGGGAGGGUUGGUGGGGAGAGAAGACUUCUCCCCCUCAAGCUUUCAUUUGGAAAAGUUUUACAUUCUUUCUUAUGGUAAUUCUCUGAUUGCACUGUGCGCCUAAUGCCACUUUCAUUUACCGGGGGUGUUAAUUAUGUUUGCAAAGUUUUAGAACUCAACAAAGCAAUUAGAGCCAAACUGUUGUAGCAGAAAAUGUAAUUAUUCAAAUAUGUUUUUUUUUUUUUUUCAGGGUCUGCUGUUAAUGUGCGUUUUGUACCAGGAAAUGUCAACAGAGAUAUUGUUUUGACAGGUUAAUUGGAAAAGACAGUCAGAAAAAUCCAAUAUGAUUUUAAGGGGGAUGUUUCCCUAAAUACGAGGGUGUUAAACAAACAUAGAAACUCAAGCUUUAUUUGCUACAUCACAAAACACAAGACUAAUCCUUGUUUUGUCCAACCAAUCGAUCAUUUUCAUUUUCAUUUUGUUUGAUUUAACACAAUUUUCAUGUUCAUCGAUGCAGAUGUUUCAGCAUGAGGUCACACCACCCCUUUAUCCACUUGUGUCUGCAGAUUUUGAUCCAAAAUGAUGGGCUUUGGAUCCUUUUACUCAAAAAACAAAAAAAAAACAAAAAAAGCAGGAUGGAUAUGACACUAUAUGCUGAGGUAGGAGUGUGCAGCAUAUAUCAGCCUGAGUCCUGCCUGUGUGAUAAUUCUCUAAAGUUAAACAGCCAUAAAAGGCUUGAGAACUCUGACCUUCACAAUCUAACUAAGCAAGAGACGCCAAUGAUGUGGAACAGACCCAUCGCGGCGCUCACAUGAUGAUAAACUACACCCCAGCUUUGCUAAAAAAUAACUGUAUGUCUUCGAUGACAUAUAUAGCGCCAGCAUUUCAAUACGAUCCCAAUUUAUUUUGCACUAAAAUGGUUUAUUGUCGGCUAUAAAGCAUAUGCAGCAAGAGGCGGAAGGACGAGGCUGCCUCAGUGCAGCGAGUGUGUCUCAAAGGCAUAUUGUUCUCUGUGCAGAGCUCAAGAGCACAUCUCAGUGAUGUGCCUCGGCUCCACGAAGGAGGCCGUAAAAAACUAUCAAAACUUAUAAACCUUAUCAUUAGUCUGCCUCUUGUCACUCAUCCCUGCUACUUAACUCACAGUUAGCUGUUUUCGUUCGACGACUUUCUACAAACUUGCGAGAAACUUCUAUCAUGAGUGGGAAUUUUGGCACAACAAGAAAUAAUUUGAUCUCAUAAGAAGUGUUUUAUAACAACUCCCCCCCCACACACACACACACACACGCUAACCGAACCACCACCACACACGCAGACACAAAUUCAAUGAAUUUACAGACAUGUACGCUCCCGAGCAGUAUUUGUCACUUUGUGUCAAAAAAGUUAUCAUAGAGAAUCAAACGGGGGAAAACAAAAGGUUUCGCUUGUUGUUGAACGUGUCACGAUACCGGGUCAUUUACAAUCCUAUAACAUAUUCAGACACUGAGCAGAUAAGCGAGCGAUACAUCUUUCACCACGCCUGCCCUUCACACUUGUCAUAGCAGCACCAUAAACAGCAUCCAUAACAAUUGAGCCCACAGAGGGAAAACCUCCAAUAUGCAGAGGAGCCUGGAGCUAGGGCACACUUUGCAAAAGAAAAAAAUGGAUAUGUUUUUCAAGUCGCUGUGAAAAUUCGAAAAACAUUGUUUCUUGUGACAAGUGGCGCGUUCUCGGCAGGAACUUUUAUUUUUUAUUUUUUGCUGCAAACAGCCCUAUAAUUAAUGAAUAAUGUAGUGUUUAGAGGGAGCGUUCCAUUAUUUGUAUACUUGGUGGAGGGAAUCUUUAUGCGUAUGUAAUUAAUCAUAAUUAAGAAGGUUUUGACAAGAGCUUGGGGACAGAGCAGACAAAGCCCUCUUUCUAUAUUCCCAAGGAGGGCAGGAUGAAAUGAUGGGAGAGCUAUGCAGGCAGCUAAUGAGAUACGUUUCCCAGUUAUUGUAGGUCUUGUUGUGAUCUUUGGUUUUCCCCCGUGUUCAGGGAGCUCACCGAGGGUUACAACCGCUGGCUGGAGGAGGGAGGACGCACACCUCCUUGUUUCUCUUAACCUCCUCCUUAGAUCUAUUACAGUGCACUUCACAAGGCUAAGUACCAUUUAAUUUAGUCGCCCUCCCAUAUUUAUCUUCUGCUCGUGAUUUAUGGGGUUCGAAUCUAUGCGCCGGAAAUGUAGGGUAUCUUUUUACUGUGUCGGUCCACAGAUUUUCAGACGACGUUACACAAACAGCCCUUCCUACCUUCCUUCCCUCCCUCCUUUGAUUAAUGUUACCAAAUUAUGAAUGCGGGUCAAAGUAAUUAUUUACAAAUUAUUACAAGUUAUUUCUAUGUACAUUUGUGUUGUUUGCACAUUACAUCUUUGCACUUGUGGCAUAUAGACUAACUUUUUUGAACGUAUCUAUAAUUGUUUAUCUUCUCAUCUUGUCCUUUGUAGUGCUUCCCCCUGAUCAUUUUGUUUCACACGGUGCUUUUUAGCACAAAUUUUAGCAUACGACUACACAUGUGACUUGUGUGUAUGUGACAAACAAACCUCUGAACCCCUGAGAAAUAACAUACCACACAUCUUAGAUAUAUUUUAUUCCCUUUCUGAAUAGUAAAUGAAACCAUAAAGUGAAAUAAUCGAGAUGAGCUGAAGGUCUUCAACAGUGAACAAGCAUCUUGGUUGAUCCGAUCAUUAGUGGACGGCUCUCAGCGAGUCAGUUCACACCUACAGCGGCAUUACAGUGCGUCUCUUGAGUCGCCACUUCUGAUCCGAUCCUCACUUCACCGCUCUUUAUGCAAGUAAACGCGUCAGAGACCAAUUGCGUUUGUUGUUUUUAGCUGGAAAUCCAACAGCGGGUCUCGUGUGUAUUCAAUGAGAAUCCAGCGUCACCUUUAACUGCAAAACAGCUCUAUGUGUCGUCUGUGCAAGCAGCUUAGUACAACCUAUAUUUGUUGUCAGGCAGCGAUCUCUAGCAAUCAUAGUAUUUAUAACGGGAGCAAAGGAGGAAGUCAGGAGUCUGCUGCUACUGCGAUCUUUUUCAUAAAAUUAACCAAGAGGUUUUACUGACUAAACGUACCCAAACCUCGACCAUUUCAAACUGUUAUUAAUGUUACAACAAAGACCCAGUAUGUCUCUUGUUGGUAACAGAUUGUCUAACAGUCAUAGAUGUCAUUCUUGGAACAGUCACCCAAUCGUUUUGAGUGUCCGUGGCAAUCAACCCAUGAAGUCAUAGUGUCGCUUUUUUUGUUUCUUUGUGUUGUCAGAUUAUCAAUUUUUGGUUGGCAGAGAACAUAUGUUUUUCCUUCAGCGUGGCCUAGAAUUUGGGUACACACAGCUAAGAGAAUGUAGCUCAUAUGCAGCUCAGAUAACCUUAUUAUUAUUCAUACGUGUACUUAGACCCGUCCACUUGUGAAUGUAUCACCCGGGAUGCAUGUUAAUGCUAGGUGUAAACAGGGCGUUAUCCACACAUGAAACACCAGCAGGCUCUGUUGUACUUACAAUUAAAGAGGAGGUGCAAACACACCUUAACAAGUUCUGCAGCUUGAGAGAGAGGGAGACUGAUGAGACAGAGGUCGGUGACCUUAACAACGAGGAAAGUUCAUGCAGCUUGUCGGCACCUGUGUGUGUUUGACUGGCUGCGUUAAAGGUGUCGGACUGUUUGAUCAAAGUCCCGAGACUCUUCAAAGUCCAGAGUGCGAGAUGAAGAGGCGCCCGGGUGAUGAAUGACCUCGUCCCUCAGUCCACCUCUCUAAUUUUCCUUUUUGGAAAAUGAAAUGAGCUCGUCUGUGUCUGCGCUGCUCGUUAAUUGCUCCUCACGAGUAGCGUUCGAGAAAGUGGAUGACAAAGUGAGCAUACCAUCUGCAGCAGCUGCUUACCGGAGGCUAAUGCCCCGAGAGCACGCAUACUGUCCUGACACUGGCAUUUCUCACUCCGCGCUGCUCCUGCAGUCAGGAGCAAAAAAAAAAAAAAAAAAAAACACCUCGGGUUGAAUAAUUUAGCCGGCGAUCAUCCACAAAGGCAGCCUGAGCGGGGAUGGCCUCGAGGCUGCAUAGUUUACACAUGUUCCAUUUCUGUUUGGAUGCUGUAAAUAAAGACGCGGUUUAUGUUCGAUGUGAGUGAAAAGAUCGGCGAAUCGAUUACCGGAUCCGAGUGGGAGUGCGAUGACUGAUAUUUACUAUAAGAUCAUCAUGAGCAGUAAAGAGUGGAGAUUUGUUGAGUGAUCUGCAGCGCUGUCCCACUUGGCGAAGUGCUGAAUUGUGUUUGAUUUCAUAAAUAAUUGCAGUCAUCAGGGACACACAUUGUUUUAGGCUUAACCGUGUUGUUUACCCAUGCCACAUGUCUGAGGGAGAGACACUGUUGUGGAUACACAUCGCCCUCAAGGAAUCUUACCAAGGGCCCACGGUUGGCAAGUGUAUUAAAGGCUUCUCCAGUGUGUGCGCAUAAGUGUGUGCCUUUGUGUGUGUUUGUUAGUGUCUGUUGUGUGAGUAAGUGAGGGAGAGAACUUAAAAGGGGGAGAGAAAAACAACAUGCAUCCAGUAGUUGAGGUAUUUAGGCGAAGCUGUAAGCAAACACAUCCGUGGCUAAUGAGGCCUGGCAUAUGGAGUGAUGAUUGGAAUUCAUCAUAGCUCACUGUUGCUGCGGUGCAGGAGUGUUACUCUCCAUCACUUAGACAACCACUAAAGACAAGAAGAAGUAACAGAGCUCCUUUUUUUUAUAUUUUUCUUUUUUUUUUUUACCCCAGUGUUAACAAAUUAACCGACACAUAUGUGGGCCAAAAAAGAAAGUUGAAAAGGAAAGGUGAUUGAUUGUUCCCCAGCUGCCUUCCUGUCAGCUCGGUUUUCUGUCAGCAGAGGAUACAUGAAAGAUGGAAACCAUCAACGCCUCUGGCCCAAAUCCCACUUUGCACUCACAAACGUAGAAAUUCUUCGAAAAUAACAGAAAAGCAAGAACUUUUCCCAUCCUCGUGACCCCAAGAGUUUUCAGAAUGAGAGGGGCAGAGCAGAAAUUUCUUUUGGAAGAGGUGUGGCGCACACUUCCACAUGUGUUCAUCAGAGCCUUGUGAGGAAGUCUCUGUGGUGGACUGUGUGCGUGUGCUUUUAUUUUUUUUGUGCACAGAUGCGUACACUUUGCAUUUGUGUGUGUGUGUGUGUGUGUGUGCUGCAGAAAGCUGAGAGGUGGAGGAAGUGCAGAGAGCUGAUUAAGAAUCGGUGUUUAGGCUUCCUCUGCCUGUGUUUCUGAGCUGGAGAUGAAAGGCAGCGGAGGUGGAGGUGUGGGUGCAGGUGCUUGAAUCUUCAUCUGAGUGUCUCCCUGCACAGUGGAGGGACUGCCGUGUCCCUAUUAUGGGUGAGUGCGGCGAGCUCAAUAGUCCCAGUCACCUCUCAAAAAACACAGCGGCGCAGUAAAAGCGGCGUGGUGCCAAUUAGGAUGAAGCGAGCAAACAUAUGCCUCCUUCAGAAAAAAAAAAAAAAAAAAUCCUGAUGAAAGUGCAUAUUGAUGCCAUAAAUUAGACGAGUACAAUAGAUUGUUGGGUGUUUGUGUGUAAAUGUUUAAUUAACCUGCUUGCCUACAUCGCUGCUGCGCUUCGCUGCUGAGGAAUCAAUCUACUUAGCAACCCAUUUAACAAUACAAGGCCUGCCUUGUAUGACACAUUCAUUGGGGACAGCCGAGCAGUUGUUAAUGUCUUCAAAUUAACAAAGCCAUUAACCCAAGUGAUAAUGGUCGGUUUUCGUGUGUGUGUGCUGGUUGUCCAAGGACGAUAACUCUGAAUAAAACCCCGGGACUAAUUUUCUUUAUGGCUUCAGAGAUCACAGAACACAGAGGGGGCCAUGAUGACCCCGUCCCAGAGGAGCCUGCUGUUUUGCCUGCAAGGUAAAGAGCUGGGAUGCAGAGGAGCUUUUUGAUUUAAUCACCGUGCUCCGCGGUGCACACUGUGUACUAGGAGGAGAUGGCAAUUAUAACGCCCAUGCCGGCCUGCUGUCCUGCCCGUGUGGUGAUGUAUUCCCCGGGGCGUCACGGGGAGACGGUGGCGGGGGCACCGCAGCCAUGAAAGAGAGCAGCAUUCCCCCUGCAGACACACCAGGCUUAUCACACUAAGAGCCAAUGACGAGCCGGAUCACUGGGGCGUGCCACACUUAGUUAGUGCCUCCGUUUGAGGAGAAUAAACACUUCAAAACAAG
Molecule: RNA transcript, 9013 nt
Organism: Acanthopagrus latus (yellowfin seabream)
Lineage: Eukaryota; Metazoa; Chordata; Actinopteri; Spariformes; Sparidae
Gene: foxb1a
Gene name: forkhead box B1a
Exons: 4
Source: RefSeq, a predicted model, not a curated record